Acinonyx jubatus (cheetah) is the source of this 11614-nucleotide long non-coding RNA. RefSeq lists it as uncharacterized. The transcript has 2 exons. The record is from RefSeq and is a predicted model, not a curated record. NCBI's taxonomy places the organism in Eukaryota, Metazoa, Chordata, Mammalia, Carnivora, Felidae.
GGAUGGGUGGGGGGGAGGGGAGAGGUAAGGGGAGAGAACUGGUGAAUCUGCCACAGGUGAUAAGUGAAACAUGGUCUGAUACCUGUCAGCUUGAGGCAGUGGGGAAAGUACAGGCUGGAUCUUGCUUAUUUUAGGUGUUCCCUCAUAAUUUUUUUCUUGCAUUGUGAGAACUGUCUUGAGGUGUAAGAAAGCAGAAACCUGCGUGGCUGCCUUCUGGAACACUGCCUUGGUUCUGAGUCUGAUCGCUGCAGUGUGGCUUUGGGUAGGCUGUGUUUUCCAUUUUAUUUCGAAUAUCCUUCCUAAUGAUGCCCUGUGGGCUUUGUUGCCUAUUUAGAUCACAUUAGUAAAUUGGAGGUGUUUUCAAGGAACUGUCUGCUCUGAUUCCUGGAUCCAUUUCCUGUGUCUUGAGAUUGCCCUGCUCUGUUGAUGCUGCUUUCUGUGAGCACAGCCAGUGAGACCAGCCUGAAAGACUACUGUACCUUUCCCCCAAUGCUUUAUUAAAAUGUACUAUCUUAUUAAUAUUUAUGAAAUUUUAAACAGGUAAUUAACAUUUAUUGUAGAAACCAAGCAUGCUGUGUUCGGUACAUAGACGUAACCCACCAAUUUAAACAUUUUGAGGCAAAACCUUCCAGAAUUUCAUCCACGUACAGCAUUGUUCAUAAGAAAAUAUAAUUGUUGUGAGUUUCUCUGGAUUCAUUUGGACUCCCAAAAUUCAUAUGUCAAAGCCCUGACCCCCAAUGUGAUGAAUCUGGAGAUGAGGGUCUUUAGGAAAUAUUAAGUUAAAUGAAGUCAUAAAGGUGAGGGCUUAAUUUGAUAAGGCUGUGGCCUUAUGGGAGGAGUAAGAGAGCCCUAACUCCCUCACUGUGUGAGCACAUAGCAGGAAGGCAGCUUGUCUGCUGCAAGACAAGAGUCUUUACCAGGCACUGACCUUGCUGGCACCCUAACCUAGGACUUUAGCCUCCAGAACUGUGAGAAAAUAAAUUUCUGUUGUGUAAGCCAUCUGGUCUAUGGUAUUUUGUUAUGGCAGUCCAAGCUAAUACAUACAUAUAAUAAGCAUGUUAUUUUGUUAUGUAGUCUAUAACUAGCUUUAAAUAGUCUCCACAGUAUAUUACACAUAUCUUUACAUGUUAAUAAGUAUACAUUUAUGUCUCAAUCUUAUUGGCGGCAUUUCAUUGUAUGGAUGUGUCUGAGUUCAUUUCAGGCUGCCAUCACAAAAUGCCAUAGACUGGGUGUCUUGUAAAUAAUAAAUAUUUAUGUCUCCCAGUUUUGGAGGCUGAGAAGUCCAAGAUUCAGGCACCUGCAGAUUCAGUAUCUGGUGAGGGCCCGCUUCCUGGCUCCUUGAGGGCAGUCUUCUCGAUGUAACCUCAUACGGAAGAGGGGCAGUGGAUCUCUGUGGGGUCUCUUUUAUAAGAGCACUAUAGUCUCUUCCUGGUUAAAGGGGGCUUCAUGAGUGCUCUACCCUCAUAACCUAAUAAUCCCAUCCUAAAGGCCUCACCGCCACCUUCCAUCCCAUUGGGAAUUAGGCCUCUGCAUACGCAUUUUGAGAGGACACACACAUUCACAUUGCAGGAUGUGACAUUUUGUUUAACCUAUACCCACUGUUUCACUGUUCUAUUUUUGUGCCAACAAUAAAUGCUGUGAUAAACAUCCUUGCAUAUAUGCUUUAGACAUUUGUCAAAUUGUCUUCUUAGCACAGAUUUCUAGACCUGGAAGAGUUAGGCAAAAGCGUAUUUGCUUUUUUUUUUUUUUAGUAUGAAAUUUAUUGUCAAAUUGGUUUCCAUACAACACCCAGUGCUCAUCCCAACAGGUGCCCUCCUCAAUGCCCAUCACCAACCCUCCCCUCCUUCCCACCCCCAUCAACCCUCAGUUUAUUCUCAGUUUUUAAGAGUCUCUUAUGGUUUGCCUCCCUCCCUAAGUUUUUUUUACCCCCUUCCCCUCCCCCAUGGUCUUCUGUUAAGUUUCUCAGGAUCCACAUAAGAGUAAAAACAUAUGGUAUCUGUCUUUCUCUGCAUGACUUAUUUCACUUAGCAUAACACUCUCCGGUUCCAUCCACGUUGCUACAAAAGGCCAGAUUUCGUUCUUUCCAAUUGCCAAAUAGUAUUCCAUUGUAUAUAUAAACCACAACUUCUUUAUCCAUUCAUCAGUUGAUGGACAUUUAGGCUCUUUCCAUAAUUUGGCUAUUGUUGAAAGUGCUGCUAUAAACAUUGGGGUACAAGUGGCCCUAUGCAUCAACAUUCCUGUAUCCCUUGGGUAAAUUCCUAGCAGUGCUAUUGCUGGGUCAUAGGAUAGAUCUAUUUUUAAUUUUUUGAGGAACCUCCAUACUGUUUUCCAGAGUGGCUCCACCAGUUUGCAUUCCCACCAACAGUGCAGGAGGGUUCCCGUUUUCUCUACAUCCUCUCCAGCAUCUAUAGUCUCCUGAUUUGUUCAUUUUAGCCACUCUGACUGGCGUGAGGUGGUAUCUGAGUGUGGUUUUGAUUUGUAUUUUCCUGAUGAGGAGUGACAUUGAGCAUCUUUCCAUGUGCCUGUUGGCCGUCUGGAUGUCUUCUUUAGAGAAGUGUCUAUUCAUGUCUUCUGCCCAUUUCUUCACUGGAUUAUUUGUUUUUUGGGUGUGGAGUUUGGUGAGUUCUUUAUAGAUUUUGGAUACUAGCCCUUUGUCCGAUAGUCAUUUGCAAAUAUCUUUUCCCAUUCCCUCGGUUGCUUUUUAGUUUUGUUGAUUGUUUCCUUUGCAGUGCAGAAGCUUUUGCUUUUUAAAGGAUUUUGAUACAUAGUUAGCCAGAUUGCCCUCCAGAAAGAUUCUUUUGAGAUUUUUAAAAGUUGAAGACAAGAACAUUUGUUUUCUCUCCUUGUGACUUCAAGCAGUCUGACUUCCUUAUUGCUCUUUAUUUCUUAAGCUAUUGACAGAGUUAUUUAUGAACAGAAUAACCGCCUUAGAUUGCUGUAGGUAGACUUAGGUCAAUAACAUGGUUGUAUGGGGAUUCAAAUUAGCACUCAUUUUGCCUCAACUGUUGGAGGCAUGACCACAGGCAUUCUCAGAUAUCCCAGGGGAAUUCUGAACCGUUCUGUUGUAGGGGCUGGCAUGUGUCUGUUCCAGGAGGUCUUCACCCUUUUAGAGCUGGUAGCUGUUUCUUAGAUAUUAAAGAGGAAAUCAGCAGAAAUACUGAGUAGAAACAGAUGAGGAAAGCUGUUGUUGCUUCGCUCAAGUCUCACUUUUUAGAUAUUCCAAGUAGCUGAUUUAUGUUUCUCUCACAGAUUUAGUGAGAAGCAACAAUUCUCUUGCUUUGUAAAAGUAGCAUUGUCUUUCAUACUUAGAAUAUAUAAUUAUUAGAGGAAACUUAAGAGACUACAGAGAAGAAUAAAGAGGAAAAUAAAAAUCACCCAUAAUCCCAUAGCCGAGAGAUAAUUACUGCUGAACAUGUAGUGUGUUUUCUAAUAUUUUUCUCUGCUUAUGCAAAUAUAAAAAUAGCAUAUUUCAUAAAUCAUUUCUUAUGGCUUUCUGUUAAAGAAAGGUUUUAUUUUUAAGUAAUCUCUACACCCAAGGUGGGGCUCAAACUCAGCCCCAAGAUCCAGAGUUGCAUGUUCCACCAAUGGAUCCAGCCAGGUGCCAUUCCUGACGCCUUUUUAAAAUUUUCUUAUGGCCCAUAAUGUUCCACUAAAAUGCUAGUAUGUGCAUAGUAUUCUACUGCCAUGUAUAUUCUAGAAUUUAUUUGAAUGCUUCUCUGUUAUUAGGCAUUUAGGUUAUUAUACAUUAAAAUUAUAGAGGACAUCUUCACCCAAAUAUCUUUCUACGGAUCUUGAAUAUUUUCAUAGGCUAGAUAGUUCAUGAACAUGAACUUACUAAGGCAAGAAUGAAUUUUUAAAAGUCCCUUUAAGGCAUAUUCUUUUAUUGCUUGAUGAUUGAUUCCAUUUACAUUCCAAGAGCAGUGAAUAUUAGUCAUUUCAUAAAAAUGCCAGCAUCAUUUUUGCCAAUUUGCGAGACAAAGGAUAAUUUUCUUUCUUCUCUUUUUUUUUUCCACAUUAAUUCAUUUUUGAGAGACUGAGAGAAAGAGUGUGAGUGGGGGAGGGGCAGAGAGAGAGAGGGAGACACAGAAUCCGAAGCAGGCUCCAGGCUCUGAGCUGUCAGCACAGAGCUCAAUGUGGGGCUCAAACUCACGAAUCACGAGAUCAUGACCUGAGCUGAAAUCGGAUGCUUAACCACCUGAGCCACCCGGGCACCCCGAAGAGAUAAUUUUCAAGCUCCAAAUCCUUUGUCAUAUUUAUUUAAUUUUAUUUUUUUGAAUGUUUAUUUAUUUUGAGAGAGAGAGAGAGAGAGAGCACGAGUAGGGGAGGGACAGAGAGAGAGAGGCAGAGAGAAUCCCAAGGAGGCUCUGCUUUGACAACACAGAGCCCCACAUGGGGCUCGAUCUCAUGAAAGGUGAGAUCAUGACCUAAACCAAAAUCAAGAGUUGGACACUUACUGACUGAGUCACCCAGGUGGCCUUUUCAUAUUUAUUUCAAAUAUUUUUCCAUUUUGUCAUUUGCCUUUUGAUUACUUUCUUUAUAUACUUGUUUUACUAACAAAAGUUUAAAUGUAUGUAAUAAGCAUAAUCAUCUUUCCUCUAUGAUUUUUCCCAUUGCUUUUAUGCUUAGAAAUUCUUCCCUAGAUCAGAUAUUCCCACUAUUUUCUUUUGGAAUUAUUUGUUUGUUUACUAUUUGACUUUUUCAUCCAAAGGUCCUGUCACCUGUUUUUGUAAAUAAAGUUUUAUUGGCAUAGCCAUACUUAUUUGUUCAUAAUGCUGUCACACUGGCAUGGUUGAAUAGUUGUGACAGAAACCUGUAAUAUUUAGUAGCUGGUCGUUUACAGUUUGCCAACUCCUGCUUUGUUGCUUCACAGUUUAUUUGGAUAUAUAAUUUAGUUGAGGCCCUAAUUUGAUUCCCUCCUUGUCCCCAACACUCAUUUCCCCCAAUCUUGUUUGUUGAAUUCAUUCAUUCCUUACUCACUGACUUGUGAUACUGCCUUUAUUAUAUUUUAUGUUCUUCUAUAUACUAGCCUUUAUUUUGGUACCACUCUGUGUCCAUUACAGAGGCAAAAUUCUUCUCCAGCUGUCAGUUCAAUUGCAAUUUAGUAAAAAUAAAACAAAUUUAGGGAGAGAAACAUAAACUACAUUUUUAAGAUAGAAUAUGUAGACUGUCCUCCAUAAGUUGCUGAAUGAGAGUCUUAUAAAGCAUAUAUUGGUAAAGAUUCAGAGUUAAGGGUUAAGGUUUGAGUGUAGAGUUAAGUAUAUUUGUAAAUUUGUUUCCUUGUGAAAUAGCCUGUUCAUAAACCAGAUCAAGCUUGUCUUUGUAAGGACUCUCUGGUGCAUUCUGAUGAAGGAAAAAUUCCAGUCUGGCAGCUGCAUCCUCAAGUAACCUUGAUUUGAAUCUACAUAUUUUCUAUAUCCGCUCUUUGCUAACAAAAGGAGUCCCAGCAAAAUAUAAGCAGGGGUACUCCUAGAGUUUCCAAACCCAGUGUAUUCAUGUCUACGGGAAAUACAUCUGUAUCUUAAUAGAUGGAGAGUAAAUUCUAGCCUUUCUGUUACAUGAGGCUAGUUUUCCUUCUUACCCUCAUUUUACAUGUGUGUAAGGUUUGGAUAUGUGUAUGUUUGUGUGUGAUGUAUGUGUGGCUGUGUAUUUGUGUUUGUGUGUGUGUUUUAUUUUAUCUCAGUCCUGGAAUGUUGGAUAAAGGAGUACUUUACAUUUUCUCCAAUGUCAGUGAACAAUCAGAGGCUUUAUCUUAGGAUGCAUUUCAAUAAACAUCUGUUUCUCUGCCAAGGAAAAACCGUGUCCUGGGGACUGAGGUAGAUGUGACCUGUAAACUCAAGCAGAGCGACUACAUGGAGCUGGUUGCCCGCUGGUAGGCUUUCUCUUCUCCCUCAAGUUCGUUCUGUCUUUACAGAGUCUCUGUGAUGAGAGUGUGUUUAUGGAAUCCUAAGAUGUGCACUUGGUGGCAGUCCUAUAUACCGCAUAAAUUUACCCUUAUGCACUUUUGGAAUUCCUUGUAUGUUUUCUAGAUUGAUGACAUAGGCAACAGCUAUAUCAAAGAAUCAGUCUUACAAAGUACUCUUAUUUCUCUCUGCUUUCUUUAUUGUUGAAGAGCAGUUCAGAAAGAGCCCUGAAACCUUUUCCUUGUUUUUUUUCCCUUCUGCUGUGAAGAACUAUUUCCUGUACUCACAACAUUUCUGACAAUAAAUGUGUGGUUUCCCCACUGCCCCCCACAUUAAACAAUUUGGGCACUAACUACCUAGAGUUAGUAUAGGACCCAGAGGUUGAGGGUUCAGUCCCGUGAGACAGCCCCCAUUUCAGACGCUGGUCUGAAGUCCUAGUUUGUCACCUACACAUCUGACUGGCCAGCUGUAAAUCUGGGGUUCCCAUGACCCCUUCCUUGGGUUAGAUAAUUUGCUGGAAAUGCUCACAGUACUCAGGAAAAUACUUGUUAUAACUGGCUAAUUAAAAAGGAUGUAAUUCAGGAACAGUCAAAUGGAAGUGACACAUAGGGCAAUGUGUGGGAAAAGGAUACAGAGCUUCCAUACCCUCUCUGGGCACAUCACACUCCUGACACCUCUAUGUGUUCACUGACCCAGAAGCUCUUGGAACCCCUUUAUUUAGGGUGUUUAUGGAGGCCCCAUUAUGUGGGCAUGCUCGAUUAAAUAAUUGGUCAUUGGUUAUUGGGCUCAGUCUCCUGCCCUUCUCCCCUCCCUUGAGGUCAGGCUUCAGAUCUGGAAGAUCCUACCCUCUAAUCACUUGGUUGGUUCCUCUGACAACCAGCCUCCAAGAGUCAUCUCAUUAGCAUAAACUCAGAUAAGGUUGAAUGGGGCUUAUUAUGAAUAACAAAAGAUGCUCCUCUAUCACUCUUGGAAUUCUAAGAGUUUUAGAAGCUUUGUACCAGAAACUGGGGCAGAGACCAAAUAUAUAUUUCUUAUUAUGUUACGCCUCCUCAUUUUCUCUUUAAUUUUCAAGUAUUCAUUGGAUGCCUGCUAAUAUAGUUUGUGCUGUCAGAGAGCCGGUAGGAGCUCCUAAGUGGGAUGCAAGCUGUGACGGGGUAAGUUACGUGUAAUUACCAUGAGAGUAUCUAUGAGGCGCUCCUAGUUCACCUUUGGAGCAGAGUCAGGGAAUGUUCCUGGUGGAGGUGAUGUCUAACUUGAGUCUUGAAGGAAGAGAAGAAUGUACCAGGUGAAGGGGUAGGUGAGGGGCAUUUCUCCCUCCCAGGGAGGGAGAGCUGAGACCUCCUUGGAGCUGCUAGUAAUUCCACAAGGCUGGAGGGAGCUUGUGGAGCUGGACAACUGUGGGAGUACAUUGGCGGCCAGUGGGCUGGAGAGGUAAGCAGGGAAGUAACCAGAUCCUGGUGGGUCUUUUGGAACUGUAUUCCAGUAUUGGAGGGGAGCCAUUUACUGAAGAUUUUAGACAAGGCAACUCAUGGUCAGACUGAUGUUUUAGCAAAAUCACUCAGACUGCAGAGUGAAUGAUGGAUUGUUGAAAGGGAGGUCUGAACGUGGAGGCACUAAGGAGGGGGUCCUUGCAACAGAGUGACAGGUGAUGUUGGCCUCAUUAAAGUAGAUGGGAGUGGAGAUGGAGAGAAGUAUCUGGAUGUAAGAGACAGUUAAGUCCAGAAGAGAGAGGGGAAAGAGUCAAGAGUGUUCAGAUGUUUGAAGUGUGUACCUCCAGGGCAUCUGCUGAAGGAAUGGGACAGAGGGGGUUGGGAUGGAGGGGAGGAUUUUGGUUUGGGGCAUCCCUAGUUUGAGGUUAGGAGACAUCCAUAGAUCAGUGUGUCGUGACGAUUGAGGCUGCAGGUAGAGCUGUGGGUUCUAGCAUGGGAAUGGGUGCGCUGUCCUGGCUACAGUGCCCUGGGAAGUGCAAAGGAAAUGGAGCUGGAAUCACUCUUUGGAGUUGAGUGGUGAGGAGGGUAGAGGAUAGCCUGGUUUGCAUUUGGAAAUGGAAGUAUAGCCGGCUAAAUCCUCAGAGCUUGAAGAACUUUGCCUGUGUGUGUUUGUGCGUGUGCCUCUUGCUUCCAGUGCCCUGACAGCGUCAUCUUUAUUAUUCACAGAAACAUUUAGGAAAUAUGUGCACAGUGUCCUUCUCGGCACAACAGACUUUCACGUUAAGUAUCCUCUCUGUUCUUUGGAAGGGGCUUAUAUAGUGGGGUGGGGGAAACAGUGGGUCACUGAAGAAAGCCACCCCUCUCCACCUCCUCCCUUCCCUCUCCUCCAUCAUACUAGCUGACACUUACUGAGUAUUCGCUAGUUAUCAUGUGCUGUUCUAAGCUCUUUAUGUCCAUUUACUUAUUUAAUUCUUAGGACAACCCGAUGAGGUAGAUACUCUUGUUACCUUUACUUUAUAGAUGGGGAAAUGGAUGAACCCGAAUAAAGUAAAUAUUGUCUAAAGCCACAUAGUGAGUAGGACAGCUGGGAUUCAAAUCAGCGAUUUAGUUCCAGAGCCCUGUGUUCCUAACCAUGGUACCCUGAAGUCCUGUCUUUCAGUACAGCAGACGCAAGUAUUAAGGUGAAAUCACGAUGGGAUGUGGAAAAGCACUCAGAAAUGAAUGAACCCCACAACAAUGGAAGAAUGGAGAAAAGAUGAGACAAAGAUGAACAGGGAGCCCCAUCUAGCUUGGGAGAUAAAAGCAAACAUUAGUAGAAAAAAGGGCUGGAUCCACAAGAAAUCAAAGGGUAAUCUGAACCAGUGACCAGGGGCAAUCGGUCAAGAAGGAUUGAAGAGAAGGUGGCAUCUGAGCUGGGUGUGAAGGAUGAACACAAACCCUGAAGGGGUUAGGGUGUAGGCGUAGCUGGGGGGAAUCUGUGUUGAUCAGAAGGGAAAGGUGAGUUCAGAGGUGUGCAGGGGAGGAAGGGAAGCUCAGAGCUGCGUGUGAAGUGAGGUGGCCAGUUCCUGAAGAGCUGCCUCAUGUGCCCAGCACCCUGUGUUCCAGUCCGGAAACUUGUGUAGCCCCUGUAAGGUAUUUUAGACCAUCCUUCUUAUGGCAGAGUGGGGUCAGAGGCAGAAAGGAAGAGACUGGAGACAGGGGGGCCAGGGGUGAAAGCUCUGAGCCCCCAAGCAAACCCUCUGAUUGAGGGGAUGGGGGGAAAGGGUCAGACUGCAGCGGUUUUUUAUGGAGCUAGAAUUUGCUCAACGCUGCACACUGGAAGUAGGCGAGAGAGUGGGAAUAACAACACCCGGUCUCCUGACUUGGAAGGUGGUGAUGCCAUUAAUCAAAUGCAGGCACCGCAGGGGUGGGGCAGAGCGGGCCUCCGUGCAGCUGGUGAGAGCAGAGAGGGGAGAUCAGGACUUCACUCCUGGUCUUGGUGAGUUCCGAUGCCUGAGAAACCUUCAGGUCAGGGACAGAUCCAGCUUCUGGAGGGCCCUGAAGCAUUUACAAUUUCGAGCCCCUCUUUAAGAAAACUACUAGAAAAUUGCAAAUACCAAGGGGCGCCUGGGUGGCUCAGUCAGUUACACAUCUGACUCGAUUUCAGCUCAGGUCAUUUCUCACGGAGAAAUUGUGAGAUGGAGCCCCGAAUGGGGCUCAGCGCUGGGCGUGGAGCCUGCUUAAGAUUCUCUCUCUCCCCCUCCUUCUCCUCAAAAAAAAAAAAAGGAAAGAAAAUUAUAAAUACCAGGUUAGAUGCAAGACCUUGGGCGGGGCCCCUGCGAGGGGGUUCCUGGAGCUUAAGCCUGCUCCUGCUUCAUGGUAGAUGUCUGAGGCUCCCUGUCUCCUUCCCUGUCUACAUCUUCCUGGAGGUCCAGAUGUCCCCAGGCUCUUCUCUCUGAGCCAAAGGCUGGUUGUCAUCCUGUUAAGACUGUUAGAGCUAAUUAAAGUUAAUCCAGGGGUUACCUUACUGUGGUGUUCAUGCUUUCAGGCUUUUCUGCAGAAAAGAUACCCUGCUUCCACUGUCUUAACACACAAGAGAAACAGAAAAAAAAAAAAAAAGCUACAAAGGGCUUUCAUGGGGUGAGGGGUUUGGUAUAUUAGCCCUCUCCGUGACCAAAAGAGGAUAACAAUAUGAAAGUAUCUUCUACUUGGAUUGUCAACAGGAAAUGGUAGCCAUGUAGACAAUGAACUAUUUUUUUUUUAAUAUUUUAAGGUUUACUUAUUUUUGAGAGAGAGACAGCAGGAGUGGGGGAGGGGCAGAGAGAGAGAGGGAGAGAGAGAAUCCCAAGCGGGCUCUGCAUUGUCAGCUCAGAGCCCGACUUGGUCUCGAACCCACAAAACCGUGAAAUCAUGACCUGAGCUGAAACCAAGAGUUGGACCCUCAGCUGACUGAGCCAGCCAGGCGCCCCUAGACAACGAACUGCUAACACUUCCAGCUUUUCCUGUGAAGAAAGAGUUUCAGGGAGCUGUUUUACCUAUAGCCUCUUACCAAGAAUGAAACCUUUUCAACCAAGUUUAUGUGGUUUCCUAAUAGGGAUUAAAAGUGGUUUUAUAAUAGCCGGGAAAUGUAAGGCAAAAGACAGCACGUUUAGAUAAUUCUCCCGAUACUACUUACAAAAUGAGUUUUGUAGCAGGAAGAUGGGCGUGGAGAACAGGACCCUAGAAUCAUUGUUUAGUCUGUGUCUUUGAUCAUUCUGGCUGGAAAGCCUCUCCUUGCAGGGAGGUGGUUGCCGACACUGCCAAGGACAAGGUUAUAUUUGGGCAAAAUGUUAUCCUCCCUCCUCCUCCUGCGCUUGGCCGUGGAACCCCUACUGAAGUCCUCAUCCUCACUGCGGCCACCCGCCCACCCCUAAGCCUCAGUGUUCCAGAAUUCCACCCCCACUUCCUUUUUCUGUCAGUUUCUGCCUGUGAAUGAUCUCAGCUAGAUGUUGGGCUCUUAUCUGAUUAAAACACUCACACAUGGUAUAAAUAGCUAACAAUUCUAUCUGCCAAAGGGUAUUUGCAUUUUAGAGGGGAGUUUGCUAACUAAGGGUAGUGCUGGAGGUGAUGAUGAAGGAUUUGGGAGCAGCCUGUCUUUUAUUUCCAAACUGUGGAGUGAAUGGGGUUUGGAUGCCACUGAGUCUCCGAGUUUGGGUUUGUGUUUUGAUCAUAGAAGGAGAAUAUUUUUUACCUCAUUUUUCUUCUUUUCCAAGAAGGCGAGUUUUCUGGGUAUGGUUAUCUAGAGCAAAUUUCAGAUGUUUAAUUAGGGAGGACAUGAGAUUUUUGGCAGGGGACCCUCUCUGCUGUGACUUGCCACCUGCAGGCCACCCAGUUCCUCUCCUAAGCUCCCAGAAAGAUGAGCUUGGGAACCCAGCACCUGGCUUUGGAAAGACAGCUCCUGCUCUUGUGAACUGAAAAUAUCUGCAAUCUGCAACUGCAUCAAGGGCCUCAAAUGCUGGGGCCUUGUAAAGAGAGAGCACGAAGAUGUUACUUUCCCAUUAAAUGCAUGGCCUGCUCGUGCUCUGAGUCUGUGUUUAGAACUGAGUGCUGCAUCUUAAGAAGGACGCAUCAGGGCAGGAGAAAAUCCAGAGAGGAGCUAUUAAAAGGACCAGUGUGCAUUUAUAGCAAAGUUGGUAGGUAGGAGCCCUUUCUAUGUGUGUUCUCUCCCAGAGUCUUAAGUCAGACCAGAUCAUCCUACUUUUAUAACUCUGGCUGGGGGGUCGGGUGGGAUGAGGACUGAAAAGAGGCAGAGCCCUGAACGUUUUA